Molecule: ribosomal RNA, 375 nt
Filed under: uncultured bacterium
Lineage: Bacteria
Description: bacterial SSU rRNA
Rfam family: Bacterial small subunit ribosomal RNA
Source: RNAcentral
AUUAGACGCUGGCGGCAUGCCUUACACAUGCAAGUCGAACGGUAGCGCGGGGCAACCUGGCGACGAGUGGCGAACGGGUGAGUAAAGCAUCGGAACGUGCCCUGGAAUGGGGGAUAACGUAGCGAAAGUUACGCUAAUACCGCAUAUUCUGUGAGCAGGAAAGCAGGGGGAUCGCAAGACCUUGCGUUCUGGGGAGCGGCCGAUGUCGGAUUAGCUAGUUGGUGGGGUAAAAGCCUACCAAGCGACGAUCCGUAGCGGGUCUGAGAGGAUGAUCCGCCACACUGGGACUGAGACACGGCCCAGACUCCUACGGGAGGCAGCAGUGGGGAAUUUUUGGACAAUGGGCGGAGCCUGAUCCAGCCAUGCCGCGUGGGU